This 76-nucleotide transfer RNA is filed under the name Candidatus Saccharimonadota bacterium. Its description in RNAcentral is "Candidatus Saccharibacteria bacterium tRNA-Lys". It matches the Rfam family "tRNA". Rfam says of the family: Transfer RNA (tRNA) molecules are approximately 80 nucleotides in length. Their secondary structure includes four short double-helical elements and three loops (D, anti-codon, and T loops). Further hydrogen bonds mediate the characteristic L-shaped molecular structure. tRNAs have two regions of fundamental functional importance: the anti-codon, which is responsible for specific mRNA codon recognition, and the 3' end, to which the tRNAs corresponding amino acid is attached (by aminoacyl-tRNA synthetases). tRNAs cope with the degeneracy of the genetic code in two manners: having more than one tRNA (with a specific anti-codon) for a particular amino acid; and 'wobble' base-pairing, i.e. permitting non-standard base-pairing at the 3rd anti-codon position. Lineage: Bacteria; Candidatus Saccharimonadota. The record is from RNAcentral. RNAcentral also lists the same sequence under 1 other name.
GGGCCCAUAGCUCAGUCGGUAGAGCAGAGGCCUUUUAAGCCUCGUGUCGUGAGUUCGAGUCUCACUGGGCCCUCCA